Molecule: small RNA, 677 nt
Filed under: Pan troglodytes (chimpanzee)
Lineage: Eukaryota; Metazoa; Chordata; Mammalia; Primates; Hominidae
Description: retained intron
Source: RNAcentral
CUAUAGAUCAGUCUAAUUACAUUUAGUCAGGUGGAUUUAUUUGAUCACCUCUUAAAAAUGGCAUCUUCCUGGCAAACUAGAAUUCUGUUCUGUGCAUCUGCUGAGUAGACAUUCAGUGUCUGCUGGUAAUGGAAAUAGAGUAAUUCUUAGUUACUGUAGUCUUCAGCUAAUCAUUUCCUUCAUAAAGUUUAAACUGACUGGAAUUUUUCAGCAACGUGGAUGGAUUUGGACUGGAAGCAGAAGCCCGCAUGACCACAUGGCACAUUAUGAUCCCCUCGGACAUUGAACCAGAUGGUAGUUACAGCCAAGAUAUUAGCGAAGGGCGUCAGCUUCUCAUAAAAGCUGUCAACAGAGUUUGGACUGAACUGAUACAUAGUAAGAAACAAGUCUUAGAGGAACUUUUCAAAGUAACUCUACCUGUGAAUGAAAGGGGCCACGUGGACAUAGCUACAGCAAGGCCACUCAUUGAAGAAGCUGCCCUGAAGUGCUGGCAGAAUCAUUUGGCCCAUGAAAAGAAAUGCAUAAGUCGAGGAGAAGCUUUAGCGCCCACCACACAGUCCAAAUUAUCCCGUGUCAGCAGUGGCUUUGGUCUUUCCAAGUUAACAGGAUCAAGAAGGAAUCGAAAAGAAAGUGGUCUUAAUAAACACAGUCUUUCCACCCAGGAGAUUUCGCAGUGG